Small nucleolar RNA from Aricia agestis (brown argus), 131 nucleotides. RefSeq annotates it as small nucleolar RNA psi18S-841/snoR66. The record is from RefSeq and is a predicted model, not a curated record. Lineage: Eukaryota; Metazoa; Arthropoda; Insecta; Lepidoptera; Lycaenidae. The transcript has a single exon.
UGCAAGGGCACUCUGUGUUAUACAUGAUCAAUAUGUUAAUCACAAUUUGUUACCUUGCUAAAUUAAAUCUAUUCAAUCCUAUUCCAAUAAGUCCAACAUGACUAUAUUGGUCAUAAUGAUAGAUACAUUUC